UUAGUCGGUCCCUAAGGCGAGGCAGAAAUGCGUAGUCGAUGGGAAGCAGGCGAAUAUUCCUGCACCAGCACGGUAGGUUUCACGAGGAGGGACGGAGGAGGAUAGUCAAGCGACCUGAUGGAUGGUCGUUCAAGCCGGUAGGGAGGAUGCGUAGGAGGCUUAGGCCGCAAACGCGCGUUCAAUCCCGAGAGGUGACGAGGGUCGCCGCAAGGCGGACAACUUGAUGAUUCCAGGCUUCCAAGAAAAGCUUCGCGUGAGUGUACCGCUGUGCUGUCCGUACCGUAAACCGACACAGGUGGGUGGGGAGAACAUCCCAAGGCGCUUGAGAGAACUCGGGUUAAGGAACUCGCAAAUUGACACCGUAACUUCGGGAGAAGGUGUGCUCUUGAGGGUGAGGAGCCGCUAACGCGCGCUCGGAGCCUUUGGGGGUUGCAGAGAAUCGGGGGUAGCGACUGUUUAUCAAAAACACAGGACUCUGCGAAGUCGCAAGACGACGUAUAGGGUCUGACGCCUGCCCGGUGCCGGAAGGUUAACAGGAGAUGUCAGCGCAAGCAAAGCAUCGAAUCGAAGCCCCGGUAAACGGCGGCCGUAACGAUAACGGUCCUAAGGUAGCGAAAUUCCUUGGCGGGUAAGUUCCGUCCUGCACGAAUGGCGUAACGACUUCCCCACUGUCUCGACCCUGGACUCAGCGAAAUUGAAUUCGGGGUGAAGAUGCCCCGUACCCGCGGAAAGACGGAAAGACCCCGUGAACCUUUACUGCAGCUUAGCACUGGUCUUCGGAUUUGUCUGUGUAGGAUAGGUGGGAGGCUGUGAAGUGGGGCCGCUAGGUUUCACAGAGCCAACGUUGAAAUACCACCCUGACAAAUCUGAAAGCCUAACCGUGACCCGUAAGCCGGGUCCGGAACACUGCCUGGUGGGUAGUUUGACUGGGGCGGUCACCUCCGAAAGAGUAACGGAGGCGCGCAAAGGUUCCCUCAGGCUGAUUGGAAACCAGCCGUAGAGUGUAAAAGCACAAGGGAGCUUGACUGCAACUCAUACAAGAGGAGCAGGUACGAAAGUAGGCUUUAGUGAUCCGGUGGUUCUGAAUGGAAGGGCCAUCGCUCAACGGAUAAAAGGUACUCCGGGGAUAACAGGCUUAUCACGCCCAAGAGUUCACAUCGACGGCGUGGUUUGGCACCUCGAUGUCGGCUCAUCGCAUCCUGGGGCUGUAGUAGGUCCCAAGGGUUUGGCUGUUCGCCAAUUAAAGCGGUACGCGAGCUGGGUUCAAGACGUCGUGAGACAGUUUGGUCCCUAUCUUCCGUGGGCGCAGGAGUCUUGAAGUGGAUCUGUCCCUAGUACGAGAGGACCGGGAUGGACGAACCCCUGGUGUUCCGGUUGUUUUGCCAGAGGCAUUGCCGGGUAGCUAUGUUCGGAGAGGAUAACCGCUGAAAGCAUCUAAGCGGGAAACCAACCACAAGAUGAGGACUCCCUGAAGGUCCGUCGUAGACCACGACGUUGAUAGGUCGGGUGUGGAAGUGCGGCAACGCAUGGAGCUAACCGAUACUAAUAGACCGCUUGGCUUGACC
This 1565-nucleotide ribosomal RNA is filed under the name metagenome. RNAcentral describes it as "bacterial LSU rRNA". It matches the Rfam family "Bacterial large subunit ribosomal RNA", at positions 1380 to 2925 of the family's 2925-position model. The record is from RNAcentral.